This 244-nucleotide ribosomal RNA is filed under the name uncultured bacterium. RNAcentral's name for it is "partial 16S ribosomal RNA". It matches the Rfam family "Bacterial small subunit ribosomal RNA", at positions 524 to 765 of the family's 1533-position model. The record is from RNAcentral.
UACAGAGGUCUCAAGCGUUGUUCGGAUUCAUUGGGCGUAAAGGGUGCGUAGGUGGCGCCGUAAGUCAGGUGUGAAAUUUCGGAGCUUAACUCCGAAACUGCAUUUGAUACUGCGGUGCUUGAGGACUGGAGAGGAGACGUGGAAUUUACGGUGUAGCAGUGAAAUGCGUAGAUAUCUGGAGGAAUACCGGUGGCGAAGGCGGCAUCCUGGACCGGCAUUGACGCUGAGUGAGCGAAAGCCAGGG